This 828-nucleotide ribosomal RNA is filed under the name uncultured fungus. Its description in RNAcentral is "SSU rRNA". It matches the Rfam family "Eukaryotic small subunit ribosomal RNA", at positions 564 to 1426 of the family's 1831-position model. The record is from RNAcentral. Lineage: Eukaryota; Fungi.
GUGCCAGCAGCCGCGGUAAUUCCAGUCUCCAAUAGCGUAUAUUAAAGUUGUUGUGGUUAAAAAGCUCGUAGUUGAACCUUGGGCCUGGCUGGCCGGUCCGCCUCACCGCGUGCACUGGUCCGGCCGGGCCUUUCCCUCUGUGGAACCCCAUACCCUUCACUGGGCGUGGCGGGGAAACAGGACAUUUACUUUGAAAAAAUUAGAGUGCUCCAGGCAGGCCUAUGCUCGAAUACAUUAGCAUGGAAUAAUAAAAUAGGACGCGCGGUUCUAUUUUGUUGGUUUAUAGGACCGCCGUAAUGAUUAAUAGGGACAGUCGGGGGCAUCAGUAUUCAACUGUCAGAGGUGAAAUUCUUGGAUCAGUUGAAGACUAACUACUGCGAAAGCAUUUGCCAAGGAUGUUUUCAUUAAUCAGGAACGAAAGUUAGGGGAUCGAAGACGAUCAGAUACCGUCGUAGUCUUAACCAUAAACUAUGCCGACUAGGGAUCGGACGGUGUUAUUCAUGACCCGUUCGGCACCUUACGAGAAAUCAAAGUGCUUGGGCUCCAGGGGGAGUAUGGUCGCAAGGCUGAAACUUAAAGAAAUUGACGGAAGGGCACCACCAGGGUGGAGCCUGCGGCUUAAUUUGACUCAACACGGGGAAACUCACCAGGUCCAGACACAAUAAGGAUUGACAGAUUGAGAGCUCUUUCUUGAUUUUGUGGGUGGUGUGCAUGGCCGUUCUAGUGUGGGGUGACUUGUCUGCUUAAUUGCGAUAACGAACGAGACCUAACCUGCUAAAUAGCCCGCAUUGCUCCGGCAGUGCGCUGGCUUCUUAGAGGGACUUUCGG